AGCUUUGCGCAGUGGCAGUAUCGGAGCCAAUGAGAUUUAUCCGAGGUGCGAUUAUUGCUAACUGAAAACUUUUCUCAUGUAAGUUUGGAAUAACGGUUGUGAAACUAUAUAUAUA
Molecule: small nuclear RNA, 115 nt
Filed under: Chinchilla lanigera (long-tailed chinchilla)
Lineage: Eukaryota; Metazoa; Chordata; Mammalia; Rodentia; Chinchillidae
Description: U4 spliceosomal RNA (ENSCLAG00000020758.1)
Rfam family: U4 spliceosomal RNA
About the family: U4 small nuclear RNA (U4 snRNA) is a component of the major U2-dependent spliceosome.
Source: Rfam by way of RNAcentral